GAAACCGUAGGACCAUUCGCGACGUCGUAAGCUUUCACUGGAACCGAACGCUUUAGAGUUCUGUGACCGAUUUAGUGAAACACUUGAGAAGCACGUUGAGGGUAGGAAACUGUAAUUGGGCAAGUUAAAAAGCAUUCGCUUAGGGCGUUCACUGCUGAACCAGACGGAGAGGCGUUGCUUGAGGAAACACUGGAAGAAGAAAAUUUGGAGGACGCCAAUCUGGUUGAAGUAGAGGUUAAAGCCGAGCCCUAGAGCGCUCGAUAGUUGUAGCUUUUAUGUUCUGCUAGAUUUUGG
Long non-coding RNA from Vigna angularis (adzuki bean), 294 nucleotides. RefSeq lists it as uncharacterized. The record is from RefSeq and is a predicted model, not a curated record. Lineage: Eukaryota; Viridiplantae; Streptophyta; Magnoliopsida; Fabales; Fabaceae. The transcript is spliced from 3 exons.